This 125-nucleotide non-coding RNA is filed under the name Furfurilactobacillus rossiae. Its description in RNAcentral is "Lactobacillus rossiae FMN sequence". It matches the Rfam family "FMN riboswitch aptamer (RFN element)". Rfam says of the family: The RFN element is a highly conserved domain that is found frequently in the 5'-untranslated regions of prokaryotic mRNAs that encode for flavin mononucleotide (FMN) biosynthesis and transport proteins. This element is a metabolite-dependent riboswitch that directly binds FMN in the absence of proteins. In Bacillus subtilis, the riboswitch most likely controls gene expression by causing premature transcription termination within the 5' untranslated region of the ribDEAHT operon and precluding access to the ribosome-binding site of ypaA mRNA. The record is from RNAcentral. RNAcentral also lists the same sequence under 1 other name. Lineage: Bacteria; Bacillati; Bacillota; Bacilli; Lactobacillales; Lactobacillaceae.
GUUCGUCUUCAGGGCAGGGUGAAAUUCCCGACCGGCGGUGAUAGCCCGCAACUCUCCAUCUGAUGGGGAUUGAUCUUGGUGAAAUUCCAAGGCCGACAGUAAAGUCUGGUAUAAAGAAGAUUGGC